RNAcentral lists this transfer RNA (73 nucleotides) under Dipodomys ordii (Ord's kangaroo rat). It matches the Rfam family "tRNA". From Rfam's summary of the family: Transfer RNA (tRNA) molecules are approximately 80 nucleotides in length. Their secondary structure includes four short double-helical elements and three loops (D, anti-codon, and T loops). The record is from Rfam by way of RNAcentral. Lineage: Eukaryota; Metazoa; Chordata; Mammalia; Rodentia; Heteromyidae.
AGAGGCAUAGCUCAAAUGGUAGAGUACUUGCCUAGCAAGCAUGAAGCCCUAAAUUCAAUUCUUAGUACCAUCU